GUCUUUUUAGCUCACCUGGCCCAAAGGGCCAAGUGAGCUUUUCCCAUCACUUUGCGUCCGGUGUUCCGGCGUCCAGCGACGUUAACUUUUACAAAAAUCUUCUCCUCUGAAACUACUGGGCCAAAUUAAACCAAACUUGGCCACAAUCAUCAUUGGGGUAUCUAGUUUAAAAAUGUGUCCGGUGACCCGGCCAACCAACCAAGAUGGCCACCAUGGCUAAAAAUAGAACAUAGGGGUAAAAUGCAGUUUUUGGCUUAAAACUCAAAAACCAAAGCAUUUAGAGCAAAUCUGACACGAGUAAAAUUGUUUAUCAGGUCAAGAUCUAUCUGCCCUGAAAUUUUCAGAUGAAUCGGACAACCCGUUGUUGGGUUGCUGCCCCUGAAUUGGUAAUUUUAGGGAAUUUUUGCUGUUUUUGGUUAUUAUCUUGAAUAUUAUUAUAGAUAGAGAUAAACUGUAAACAGCAAUAAUGUUCAGCAAAGUAAGAUUUACAAAUAAGUCAACAUGACCAAAAUGGUCAGUUGACCCCUUUAGGAGUUAUUGACCUUUAAAGUCAAUUUUUAACCAUUUUUCGUAAAUCUUAGUAAUCUUUUACAAAAAUCUUCUCCUCUGAAACUACUGGGCCAAAUUAAUCCAAACUUGGCCACAAUCAUCUUUGGGGUAUUUAGUUUUAAAAAUGUGUGGCGUGACCUGGCCAACCAACCAAGAUGGCCGCCAUGGCUAAAAAUAGAACAUACGGGUAAAAUGCAGUUUUUGGCUUAUAACUCAAAAACCAAAGCAUUUAGAGCAAAUCUGACAUGGAGUAAAAGUGUUUAUCAGGUCAAGAUGUAUCUGCCCGAAAUUUUCAGAUGAAUCAGACAACUGGUUGUUGGGUUGCUGCCCCUGAAUUGGUAAUUUUAAGGAAAUUUUGCUGUUUUUGGUUAUUAUCUUGAAUAUUAUUAUAGAUAGAGAUAAACUGUUUACAGCAAUAAUGUUCAGCAAAGUUAGAUCUACAAAUAAGUCAACAUGACCGAAAUG
RNAcentral lists this long non-coding RNA (1014 nucleotides) under Mytilus galloprovincialis (Mediterranean mussel). The record is from RNAcentral. Lineage: Eukaryota; Metazoa; Mollusca; Bivalvia; Mytilida; Mytilidae.